RNAcentral lists this unclassified non-coding RNA (433 nucleotides) under soil metagenome. RNAcentral's name for it is "partial contains 5.8S ribosomal RNA, internal transcribed spacer 2, and large subunit ribosomal RNA". The stretch from base 1 to 120 matches the Rfam family "5.8S ribosomal RNA", at positions 35 to 154 of the family's 154-position model. The record is from RNAcentral.
GAUGAAGAACGCAGUGAAAUGCGAUACGUAAUGUGAAUUGCAGAAUUCAGUGAAUCAUCGAAUCUUUGAACGCAUAUUGCGCUCUCUGGUAUUCCGGAGAGCAUGCUUGUUUGAGUAUCAGUAAACACCUCAACUUCCAUAUCUUUUUUGAAAUGGGAGUUGGACUUGAGUGAUCCCAACGCUUUUCCUCACCGAGAAGUGGCGGGUUACUUGAAAUGCAGGUGCAGCUGGACUUUUCUCUGAGCUAUAAGCAUAUCUAUUUAGUCUGCCUAAAAAACAGAUUAUUACCUUUGCUGCAGCUAACAUAAAGGAGAUUAGUUCUUGUGCUGACUGAUGCAGGAUUCACAAAGACAGGCUUCGGCCGACUUUGUAAACUCGAUCUCAAAUCAAGAAAGACUACCCGCUGAACUUAAGCAUAUCAAUAAGCGGAGGA